Molecule: ribosomal RNA, 646 nt
Filed under: uncultured bacterium
Lineage: Bacteria
Description: bacterial SSU rRNA
Rfam family: Bacterial small subunit ribosomal RNA
Source: RNAcentral
CGCGGCCUAUCAGCUUGUUGGUGGGGUAAUGGCCUACCAAGGCGUCGACGGGUAGCCGGCCUGAGAGGGUGUACGGCCACAUUGGGACUGAGAUACGGCCCAGACUCCUACGGGAGGCAGCAGUGGGGAAUAUUGCACAAUGGGCGCAAGCCUGAUGCAGCGACGCCGCGUGGGGGAUGACGGCCUUCGGGUUGUAAACUCCUUUCGCCCACGACGAAGCCCUUCGGGGUGACGGUAGUGGGAUAAGAAGCAUCGGCCAACUACGUGCCAGCAGCCGCGGUAAUACGUAGGGUGCGAGCGUUGUCCGGAAUUACUGGGCGUAAAGAGUUCGUAGGCGGUUUGUCACGUCGUGUGUGAAAUCCCACAGCUUAACUGUGGGCUUGCAGGCGAUACGGGCAGACUUGAGUACUGCAGGGGAGACUGGAAUUCCUGGUGUAGCGGUGAAAUGCGCAGAUAUCAGGAGGAACACCGGUGGCGAAGGCGGGUCUCUGGGCAGUAACUGACGCUGAGGAACGAAAGCGUGGGGAGCGAACAGGAUUAGAUACCCUGGUAGUCCACGCCGUAAACGGUGGGUACUAGUUGUGGGUCCCUUCCACGGGAUCCGUGACGCAGCUAACGCAUUAAGUACCCCGCCUGGGGAGUACGG